UACGUAGGUGGCAAGCGUUGUCCGGAUUUACUGGGCGUAAAGGGUGCGUAGGCGGAUAUUUAAGUGGGAUGUGAAAUCCCCGGGCUUAACCUGGGGGCUGCAUUCCAAACUGGAUAUCUAGAGUGCAGGAGAGGAAAGCGGAAUUCCUAGUGUAGCGGUGAAAUGCGUAGAGAUUAGGAAGAACACCAGUGGCGAAGGCGGCUUUCUGGACUGUAACUGACGCUGAGGCACGAAAGCGUGGGUAGCAAACAGG
This 253-nucleotide ribosomal RNA is filed under the name uncultured bacterium. Its description in RNAcentral is "partial 16S ribosomal RNA". It matches the Rfam family "Bacterial small subunit ribosomal RNA", at positions 524 to 776 of the family's 1533-position model. The record is from RNAcentral.